This 141-nucleotide small nuclear RNA is filed under the name Mola mola (ocean sunfish). Its description in RNAcentral is "U4 spliceosomal RNA (ENSMMOG00000000783.1)". It matches the Rfam family "U4 spliceosomal RNA". Rfam says of the family: U4 small nuclear RNA (U4 snRNA) is a component of the major U2-dependent spliceosome. The structure of U4 snRNA from yeast and human has been reported. Lineage: Eukaryota; Metazoa; Chordata; Actinopteri; Tetraodontiformes; Molidae. The record is from Rfam by way of RNAcentral.
AGCUUUGCGCAGUGGCAGUAUCGUAGCCUAUGAGGUCUAUCCGAGGCGCGAUUAUUGCUAGUUGAAAACUUUACCCAAUACCCCGCCUUGACGACUUGAAAUAUAGUCGGCAAUGGCAAUUUUUGACGGUCUCUAAGGAGA